GCCCUCGUAGUCUAAUGGAUAAAACGCAAGCCUUCGAAGCUUGAUUUAGAGGUUCGAAUCCUCUCGGGGGCACCC
RNAcentral lists this transfer RNA (75 nucleotides) under Candidatus Wolfebacteria bacterium CG_4_10_14_0_8_um_filter_39_64. Its description in RNAcentral is "tRNA-Arg". It matches the Rfam family "tRNA". Rfam says of the family: Transfer RNA (tRNA) molecules are approximately 80 nucleotides in length. Their secondary structure includes four short double-helical elements and three loops (D, anti-codon, and T loops). Further hydrogen bonds mediate the characteristic L-shaped molecular structure. tRNAs have two regions of fundamental functional importance: the anti-codon, which is responsible for specific mRNA codon recognition, and the 3' end, to which the tRNAs corresponding amino acid is attached (by aminoacyl-tRNA synthetases). tRNAs cope with the degeneracy of the genetic code in two manners: having more than one tRNA (with a specific anti-codon) for a particular amino acid; and 'wobble' base-pairing, i.e. permitting non-standard base-pairing at the 3rd anti-codon position. Lineage: Bacteria; Candidatus Wolfeibacteriota. The record is from RNAcentral. RNAcentral also lists the same sequence under 2 other names.